GUGUCAGCCGCCGCGGUAAUUCGAAGGGGGCUAGCGUUGCUCGGAAUGACUGGGCGUAAAGGGCGCGUAGGCUGUUUGUACAGUCAGAUGUGAAAUCCCCGGGCUUAACCUGGGAACUGCAUUUGAUACGUGCAGACUAGAGUCCGAGAGAGGGUUGUGGAAUUCCCAGUGUAGAGGUGAAAUUCGUAGAUAUUGGGAAGAACACCGGUUGCGAAGGCGGCAACCUGGCUCGGAACUGACGCUGAGGCGCGAAAGCGUGGGGAGCGAACAGGAUUAGAUACCCUGGUAGUCCACGCUGUAAACGAUGUGUGCUGGAUGUUGGGUGAUUUUAUCAUUCAGUGUCGGAGCUAACGCGUUAAGCACACCGCCUGGGGAGUACGGCCGCAAGGUUGAAACUCAAAGGAAUUGACGG
RNAcentral lists this ribosomal RNA (412 nucleotides) under uncultured bacterium. Its description in RNAcentral is "bacterial SSU rRNA". It matches the Rfam family "Bacterial small subunit ribosomal RNA", at positions 505 to 916 of the family's 1533-position model. The record is from RNAcentral.